UAGUCCACGCAGUAAACGAUGAGUGCUAAUUGUCGGGAUCUUGAGUCUCGGUGGUGAAGCUAACGCGUUAAGCACUCCGCCUGGGGAGUACGGCCGCAAGGCUAAAACUCAAAGGAAUUGACGGGGACCCGCACAAGCAGUGGAGCAUGUGGUUUAAUUCGAUGCAACGCGAGAAACCUUACCAGCCCUUGAAUCCUAGUCGCGAUUUCCAGAGAUGGAUUUCUUCAGUUCGGCUGGACUAGUGACAGGUGUUGCAUGGCUGUCGUCAGCUCGUGUCGUGAGAUGUUAGGUUAAGUCCUUCAACGAGCGCAACCCUCAUCCUUAUUUGCCAUCAGGUUAUGCUGGGAACUAUAAGGAAACUGCCAACGACAAGUUGGAGGAAGGUGGGGAUGAUGUCAAGUCAUCAUGGCCCUUAUGGGCUGGGCUACACACAUGCUACAAUGGUGGUUACAACAGGCUAGCGAAAGAGUAAUCUGGAGCCAAUCCUUCAAAAACCA
This 497-nucleotide ribosomal RNA is filed under the name uncultured bacterium. RNAcentral's name for it is "bacterial SSU rRNA". It matches the Rfam family "Bacterial small subunit ribosomal RNA", at positions 791 to 1285 of the family's 1533-position model. The record is from RNAcentral.